RNAcentral lists this unclassified non-coding RNA (219 nucleotides) under Hevea brasiliensis (rubber tree). The record is from RNAcentral. Lineage: Eukaryota; Viridiplantae; Streptophyta; Magnoliopsida; Malpighiales; Euphorbiaceae.
AAGGGUUUCAUUCACUCAGUUAAAUGAAAAUUAAGAGUAUAAGACCUCUAAAGAGAAGGGUCACUGCUAGAACUACCACUAGUUGUUGAAUAUCACUUGAUUAUGAUACAGAUUUUGUUCAAUGGAUCUACUUGAAAAUAAAACAACAAAAAAUAAGUAUGAAAAAUCCAUUCCUACAUUCUUAUAAUGUACAUAUGGUAAAAUGCUCUUACAAUAAAG